GAUAAUCGUCUCGGACGCUGACGAGUGGCGAACGGGCGAGUAAUACAUCGGAACGUGCCCAGUCGUGGGGGAUAACUACUCGAAAGAGUAGCUAAUACCGCAUACGAUCUGAGGAUGAAAGCGGGGGACCUUCGGGCCUCGCGCGAUUGGAGCGGCCGAUGGCAGAUUAGGUAGUUGGUGGGAUAAAAGCUUACCAAGCCGACGAUCUGUAGCUGGUCUGAGAGGACGACCAGCCACACUGGGACUGAGACACGGCCCAGACUCCCACGGGAGGCAGCAGUGGGGAAUUUUGGACAAUGGGCGAAAGCCUGAUCCAGCAUGCCGCGUGCAGGAUGAAGGCCUUCGGGUUGUAAACUGCUUUUGUACGGAACGAAAAAGCUUCUCCUAAUACGAGAGGCCCAUGACGGUACCGUAAGAAUAAGCACCGGCUAACUACGUGCCAGCAGCCGCGGUAAUACGUAGGGUGCGAGCGUUAAUCGGAAUUACUGGGCGUAAAGCGUGCGCAGGCGGUUAUGUAAGACAGAUGUGAAAUCCCCGGGCUCAACCUGGGAACUGCAUUUGUGACUGCAUGGCUAGAGUACGGUAGAGGGGGAUGGAAUUCCGCGUGUAGCAGUGAAAUGCGUAGAUAUGCGGAGGAACACCGAUGGCG
This 649-nucleotide ribosomal RNA is filed under the name uncultured bacterium. RNAcentral describes it as "bacterial SSU rRNA". It matches the Rfam family "Bacterial small subunit ribosomal RNA", at positions 68 to 717 of the family's 1533-position model. The record is from RNAcentral.